RNAcentral lists this ribosomal RNA (484 nucleotides) under uncultured Alphaproteobacteria bacterium. RNAcentral's name for it is "bacterial SSU rRNA". It matches the Rfam family "Bacterial small subunit ribosomal RNA", at positions 1 to 532 of the family's 1533-position model. The record is from RNAcentral. Lineage: Bacteria; Pseudomonadati; Pseudomonadota; Alphaproteobacteria.
GGAGGUGAUCCCGGUUUUAAAAAAGAAAACGGGUGGCGGCAGCCUAAAACACAGGCAAGUCGAGCGCAUUUUUCGGAGUGAGGCGGCGGACGGGUUAGUAACGCGUGGGAAUAUCCCCUUCACUACGGAAUAGCCUCGGGAAACUGAGAGUAAUACCGUAUACGCCCUUCGGGGGAAAGAUUUAUCGGUGAAGGAUUAGCCCGCGUCUGAUUAGAUAGUUGGUGGGGUAAUGGCCUACCAAGUCUACGAUCAGUAGCUGGUUUGAGAGGAUGAUCAGCAACACUGGGACUGAGACACGGCCCAGACUCCUACGGGAGGCAGCAGUGGGGAAUCUUAGACAAUGGGCGCAAGCCUGAUCUAGCCAUGCCGCGUGAGUGACGAAGGCCUUAGGGUCGUAAAGCUCUUUCGCCAGAGAUGAUAAUGACAGUAUCUGGUAAAGAAACCCCGGCUAACUCCGUGCCAGCAGCCGCGGUAAUAAGGGCGA